GGGAAGAGGGAGAAAUCCUUUAGUUUUGCGAUUAGGCUGCCAGGCUUUGUAAAGGGCUUAAAAACAAAGUCAUGCUCAGCCUUUUGUAGGAGAGAUCCAGAUGUUAUGUAGAUUUCUGUUUGCAUGUUCGUUUUGAGCGGAUCUGGCGGUGAGCGCUGUAUUUACGUGUGUGUUGCAGGACUUCAACGUUUUUCGACGUUGCGCUUGUGGAAUGUAUGCCGGAGUAUUAGCUCGAGGAUCUACAAGAUUAAAGCUAGUCCCAAGAGCAACCGAAUUGCUGUGACUGACUUUCACGGGACUUUAAAGAGAGAUCGGCUCAAAAGUCCAAAGAGAAAUGAGGUGUCUGGUAUGGAAGUGCAUCUCAGUCAACCGCCAGCUCCUUUUGCCGAGGCUGGAAAUGGUUUUAACAGGCGGUAAAAUUUCAUCUUGUGGUGUCAAAUUGGGGUCAGUUUGGGGUUAGCGCUCUCAGUGUCCGAGCAGGAGCUGUCCAGCUGUGUGGGGAUUCAUUAAGGGCAAAAGAUCCGUUUCAAGAAAAACAAUACAAAGACAAUCAGAGGGCUAAAGAUCCUCUUCAAAUCGCAUUUUACAAGUGCACCAGAACAAAUAUGGAUGCUGAAACCUAUUCCCUUCAAACUCCUAAAUCGGCUUCUUAGUCCUUGGAGGGAGUGAGAGAGAAAAUCCUCUAAAACUUAAGAAGAGUCUGUUUUCAAUCAGCCUUUCCGAAGUGUGGCAUCUUAGUCCUUUGCUGGCUUUGAGACAUGCCUCUCUCGCUCGGUCGCUACCUCCCUCUCUCU
Molecule: long non-coding RNA, 794 nt
Filed under: Manacus vitellinus (golden-collared manakin)
Lineage: Eukaryota; Metazoa; Chordata; Aves; Passeriformes; Pipridae
Description: lncRNA (ENSMVIG00005012656.1)
Source: RNAcentral